Molecule: long non-coding RNA, 1757 nt
Organism: Cavia porcellus (domestic guinea pig)
Lineage: Eukaryota; Metazoa; Chordata; Mammalia; Rodentia; Caviidae
Exons: 2
Source: RefSeq, a predicted model, not a curated record
UCCUUGUGGGGCAGGACCUCCCCUGUUCACACACAGAGAAACGGAGGCUCAGGGAGCCCAAGCAACUUCCUCAAGGCCACACAGCUGAACAGGAGCUGAGGCUGAGUCCGAUCAAGACCAGUGAGCUCCACGGCAGGUGUAAAGACGCGCCCAGCAAAGAGUGUGUGCUGCUGUGUCUUGAGGCGGCUUAGUGCACUUCCCAGCCACAUCCAAGUGCUGAGUCCCCCAGAGGAGCUUGGGAACAAGGAGAGAGGCCCAGAGAGGCUGAGAGACCUGGCCAGCGCCACACAGCACACCAGGACCAGGCACUCCUGCUCAGCUCGACUGCUGCUGCUCUUGGCUGGACAGGGAGGGCCGUCCCCACUGAGUCGGACAGAGGCCACUGUGUGUAGUGACACCUGAACCCAGGCCCCCUGGUGCCCGAGGCGGAUGUGCUGGAUGCAGGGGCAAUACUGUACCCUCCCUCCUGGGACCCAGCACACGCUCCCAGUCCCAGCCACAUCUGGAUCCCACCUGGCAGCUCCAGGAACCAGAGGAGAGGGAGAAGCCACCCCGGGAACUUGCCAUCAGAGAUGAGGAGGAGCCGGGGGACAAGGACAAAGGCGGAGGCCAGCUAGGGCCAAGAGGGUGCCUCGUGGUGGCGGUGUCUCAGAGCGGUGGACUGUGCACAGCCUUCCUGCAGGGUGCUGGCAGUAGGGACUCCUGCCCAUGCUCUGGUCCUCAGGGGAGCAAAGGGUGACGUCUGUCUCCUGGUCACGACGGACAACAGAACCACACGUGGAAGCCAGGCCUGCGUGACUGGCACCCCAAGGGGCGCCCACACCCCCAGCUACAUAUCAACUUCUGUUUUGUGGCCCUGAAGAUUGAACCUAGAUCCCUCCGGCUGAGCUACAUCCCCAGCCCAUUGUUUUUUAUUUUGAGACAGGAUCUUGGUAUGUCACCCGGGCUAGGUUCAAACUUGUGUUUUUCCUGCCUCAGCCUCCCAAAGUGCUGAGAUUACAGAUAAAUGCCACUUGUACCCAGCUAAUUUUCUCAGUCUUUCCCACACCAAUCUUCCCCUUCAGCCUCUGAGACCUGGCUGACGUCACUGCUCACCCCAGAAAGUUGCUCCCAGCACAAGAGCAACUCUCCCUCAGACCUGCCCCUCCUCCCUCCAGAAGACCAGAAAGACUCAGGACAGAUUCAAGGUUUAUUAUGCUGGUGUGUUAUAUCUCAGCACCUGGAGGGUUAUGCAGAGGUUGGGGGAGCCCCACACAGAGGACUGGGGCGGGCUCCCUGUCGAGGACAGAAGAAUGCUGUGGACAUAGACUGCCAGACCUCAUGUAUGAGCAAAGGGCCAGUGGCCAGCACCUCCUGCUCCAGGCUGGGCGUCAGAAACCAAAAUGGGGGUUCCUUACUAAUGCAGCCCCCUAGCUUACAGACUGCUUUGAGUCUGACAGGUAGAGAGGGUUCAGCGCACGCGCCCCAGCCCAGAAGCAGUAGAGGGAUGAGAGACCCAGGUAGACGUGGCUUGAGCAACCAAAGCCCUGUACCACACACCCCAGCUCUGGACCAACCAGAACUUUGGGAAGCACCUUUAGGAAGAUGAGAGCAGUAUUUCCCAGAGGGAGUUUUGCAGGAUUUGACCUUACAGCUGUCUUAAAAAGCAGCGAUGCUGGCGGGCACGCAGCUCAGUGGUACAGCACUUGCCCAGCACACACGUGGACCUGGGCUCCUACCCCGGCACAGCCAAAAAUAAAAAAUGAAAGCUUUGAAAA